Molecule: small RNA, 61 nt
Filed under: Sinorhizobium meliloti 2011
Lineage: Bacteria; Pseudomonadati; Pseudomonadota; Alphaproteobacteria; Hyphomicrobiales; Rhizobiaceae
Description: putative ncRNA
Source: RNAcentral
CUAAGCGCACUGAUGCGACUUCGGCGUCACGGAAGCCGAGCGCCAGAUCGGGACUGUCCGA